This 253-nucleotide ribosomal RNA is filed under the name uncultured bacterium. Its description in RNAcentral is "partial 16S ribosomal RNA". It matches the Rfam family "Bacterial small subunit ribosomal RNA", at positions 524 to 776 of the family's 1533-position model. The record is from RNAcentral.
UACGUAGGGUGCAAGCGUUGCCCGGAUUUAUUGGGCGUAAAGGGCGCGUAGGCGGCUCGGCACGUCCGUUGUGAAAUCGCCCGGCUCAACUGGGCGGGGUCAGCGGAUACGGUCGAGCUUGAGCAAGCUAGGGGGCAAUGGAAUUCCCGGUGUAGUGGUGGAAUGCGUAGAUAUCGGGAGGAACACCGGUGGCGAAGGCGGUUCUCUGGGCCUGUGCUGACGCUGAGGAGCGAAAGCGUGGGGAGCGAACAGG